GUAGUCAUAUGCUUGUCUCAAAGAUUAAGCCAUGCAUGUCUAAGUAUAAGCAAUCUAUACCGUGAAACUGCGAAUGGCUCAUUAAAUCAGUUAUCGUUUAUUUGAUAGUACCUUACUACUUGGAUAACCGUGGUAAUUCUAGAGCUAAUACAUGCUAAAAACCCCGACUUCGGAAGGGGUGUAUUUAUUAGAUAAAAAACCAACGCCCUUCGGGGCUUCUUGGUGAUUCAUGAUAACUUUACGGAUCGCAUGGCCUUGCGCCGGCGACGGUUCAUUCAAAUUUCUGCCCUAUCAACUUUCGAUGGUAAGGUAUUGGCUUACCAUGGUUUCAACGGGUAACGGGGAAUUAGGGUUCGAUUCCGGAGAGGGAGCCUGAGAAACGGCUACCACAUCCAAGGAAGGCAGCAGGCGCGCAAAUUACCCAAUCCCGACACGGGGAGGUAGUGACAAUAAAUACUGAUACAGGGCUCUUUUGGGUCUUGUAAUUGGAAUGAGUACAAUUUAAACCUCUUAACGAGGAACAAUUGGAGGGCAAGUCUGGUGCCAGCAGCCGCGGUAAUUCCAGCUCCAAUAGCGUAUAUUAAAGUUGUUGCAGUUAAAAAGCUCGUAGUUGAAACUUGGGCCUGGCUGGCAGGUCCGCCUCACCGCGUGUACUUGUCCGGCCGGGCCUUCCUUCUGGAGAACCUCAUGCCCUUCACUGGGUGUGUUGGGGACCAGGACUUUUACUUUGAAAAAAUUAGAGUGUUCAAAGCAGGCCUUUGCUCGAAUACGUUAGCAUGGAAUAAUAGAAUAGGACGUGCGGUCCUAUUUUGUUGGUUUCUAGGACCGCCGUAAUGAUUAAUAGGGACAGUCGGGGGCAUCAGUAUUCAAUUGUCAGAGGUGAAAUUCUUGGAUUUAUUGAAGACUAACUACUGCGAAAGCAUUUGCCAAGGAUGUUUUCAUUAAUCAGUGAACGAAAGUUAGGGGAUCGAAGACGAUCAGAUACCGUCGUAGUCUUAACCGUAAACUAUGCCGACUAGGGAUCGGGCGAUGUUCUUUUUCUGACUCGCUCGGCACCUUACGAGAAAUCAAAGUUUUUGGGUUCUGGGGGGAGUAUGGUCGCAAGGCUGAAACUUAAAGGAAUUGACGGAAG
RNAcentral lists this ribosomal RNA (1132 nucleotides) under Phragmogibbera herbicola. Its description in RNAcentral is "SSU rRNA". It matches the Rfam family "Eukaryotic small subunit ribosomal RNA", at positions 20 to 1162 of the family's 1831-position model. Lineage: Eukaryota; Fungi; Ascomycota; Dothideomycetes; Venturiales; Venturiaceae. The record is from RNAcentral.